This is a long non-coding RNA of Symphalangus syndactylus (siamang), 553 nucleotides long. RefSeq lists it as uncharacterized. The record is from RefSeq and is a predicted model, not a curated record. NCBI's taxonomy places the organism in Eukaryota, Metazoa, Chordata, Mammalia, Primates, Hylobatidae.
CACAGGCCUUGCGCCCAGCGCAGUGACGGGCACAGGGCAGGGACUUGUGGGAUAAAAGUCACCUGCCCUUUUAUUUUCCUCGGAAAAGAGCUUUUCCUAAACUUUGGGGGCUUUCUGUCUCCAGAAUUAACAAAGGGAGAAGAGGUCUUUUUGGUGGAGCGCUGCUGCCCCCAUGCGGUUGGAUGGCGACACUACCGAAGAGCAGGCGAUCAAGCCUGGUAUUUUUGGGUUUCAGGUUCUGCGGCUUCCUGAGACCUGCAGUCCGGUCUCCGGGUCCCUGGGUCCCGGACGUGUCCAUCAGGGCUUCCAUUAGGGCCAUCACCUAAUGGACAAGCAUCAGGAGGAUGUGGCUUCUGCGGGAGAGCUUCAAAGGGUGCCCUACUUGCCCCUCUUGGUAACCAUGACAUCAUGGAAAUGGGAGGGGACCGCCCCAGCCCCCAAACACCUGGAGGGAAGUGGGAGACUUUUUCCACUUCCUGUUCUACUUGUGGCUACUGACUCAAUGUCUGACCUGUUUAUUAAUUGCAAAAUAUAGCUCGAUGUGUGCUACCCA